AAUCACUGCAGGAGGUGGUUCACAUUUCAAACCUGAGAAUUAUACUCCCACCACCUGAUCAAGGUAAUGCUUGCGAAGGGAAGCAGUGAACAGAUAAG
This 98-nucleotide non-coding RNA is filed under the name Flavihumibacter sp. ZG627. RNAcentral's name for it is "TPP riboswitch aptamer (THI element)". It matches the Rfam family "TPP riboswitch aptamer (THI element)". Rfam says of the family: Vitamin B(1) in its active form thiamin pyrophosphate (TPP) is an essential coenzyme that is synthesised by coupling of pyrimidine and thiazole moieties in bacteria. The previously detected thiamin-regulatory element, thi box was extended, resulting in a new, highly conserved RNA secondary structure, the THI element, which is widely distributed in eubacteria and also occurs in some archaea. The record is from Rfam by way of RNAcentral. RNAcentral also lists the same sequence under 1 other name. Lineage: Bacteria; Pseudomonadati; Bacteroidota; Chitinophagia; Chitinophagales; Chitinophagaceae.